RNAcentral lists this ribosomal RNA (155 nucleotides) under uncultured bacterium. RNAcentral's name for it is "partial 16S ribosomal RNA". It matches the Rfam family "Bacterial small subunit ribosomal RNA", at positions 344 to 514 of the family's 1533-position model. The record is from RNAcentral.
GGAGGCAGCAGUGGGGAAUAUUGAGCAAUGGCGGGCAAGCGUGAUCAGCCAUGCCCGGUGAGUGAUGAAGGCCUUACGGGUUGUAAAUGCUCUAUUAUCCGGGAAGAUAAUGACUGAACCGGAAGAAUAAGCCCCGGCAAACUUCGUGCCAGCAG